Non-coding RNA from Phascolarctos cinereus (koala), 1190 nucleotides. NCBI's taxonomy places the organism in Eukaryota, Metazoa, Chordata, Mammalia, Diprotodontia, Phascolarctidae. The record is from RefSeq and is a predicted model, not a curated record.
ACAGGGAAGGAGCUCCUGCACCCAGGAUCUGGGUUCAAAUCCCAGCUCCAGUUCCCCAGCCUGUCAACUGUCCUGAGUGAGGCGGCUUCUGAAGGGAAGGUCUGUGUAGGCAGCUCAGAGCCCUGGGCUAGAGAGGUCUCUAGGAAGAGGUUCAAGUUCUGUAGCAGAAACUUCCUGCUUGUGUGGGCUUAGGUAAAUUUGCCUGGAUUUCCUCCCCGUAAAAGAAGGGCAUUGGGCUCGCCCACCAGUGUGACUACAUUUAAUAGCCUGCAGAAAGGCCAAGGAUGAGGCCUUAAAGGGAAAACUGGAAACCCAGCCCUUUCUAACCUGGCAGUAUUGGGCCCGGUCAUACAGGAGCUUCUUCUGCGGAGGAGUCGGCCUCAGAGUCCCCACCCCCAACCCUAUGGGUCUCAGGUUCCCUUGAUCUCAAUCCUUCCGAUCGGCCAGCACCCGGCCGGCCCCUGACCGGCUUGUAACCCAUCCCAGACUCGGACUCUGCCUCUGCCUCUAGGCUUCUCAAGACUUUCUCAACUCCCUUCACGUUUGUGCCUUCCGAGACAAUCCCAGUUCUCCUACGUGGUCUCCCAUUGGGCUGGGAGCACCGGGGAGCAGGGUCACGUUUUUGCCUGCCUUUGUAACUCCCACACAUCGCACAUACAAGCAUUUACUGGGUGCUCAUCGACUGACCACGCCCAGGGGGCCUUGGGGCUGAGCCAGAUGGCUCACUGGUGAUUUACAAGGCCAGCCUCCCAUCCUCCUACUUGGGAGGGCUGCUCUGGGGGCGCCUGUGCAAGCCCCUCUGUCCCCCAGGAGAAACCAAACCCACAGGAACUUUGAUUGCAGGAGGGUGUGUGUGCCAAUGCCUGGCCCUGGUCCUCUAGAGCACAGGGCAGGGCCUCUCUUUUCUGCCUGCCUCCUCUUCCAUUCAUUCCUAUAGAGUGCCCAGAAAAUUCGCGGCAGAAGCAGUUUGGGGCAUCGGCAAAGGCUGCAGAGCCCAGCUGGACAUUUGGAUCCUCAGACUCAUACCUGGGCUGAGAGCUGGACCUUGUGAAGAGAGAACAAGGACAGAGAAAGACCACCAAGGCACAAGACCCUUUCAGUCUUGUAGGAGCAGCAGACACAGCUCUAUGAAAAGCUGGGAUGAGCAAAACCCCAGCCCCUGUGCCAAACAUGUUGGCAGGCCCCCAGAG